GAGGGUAUAGCUCAAUGGUAGAGUAUGUGUUAUCAUGCUCAAGGUACUGGGUUCAAUCCCCAGUACCUCCA
RNAcentral lists this transfer RNA (71 nucleotides) under Camelus bactrianus (Bactrian camel). It matches the Rfam family "tRNA". From Rfam's summary of the family: Transfer RNA (tRNA) molecules are approximately 80 nucleotides in length. Their secondary structure includes four short double-helical elements and three loops (D, anti-codon, and T loops). Lineage: Eukaryota; Metazoa; Chordata; Mammalia; Artiodactyla; Camelidae. RNAcentral also lists the same sequence under 2 other names. The record is from Rfam by way of RNAcentral.